Marmota marmota marmota (Alpine marmot) is the source of this 128-nucleotide small nucleolar RNA. NCBI's taxonomy places the organism in Eukaryota, Metazoa, Chordata, Mammalia, Rodentia, Sciuridae. The record is from Ensembl.
AAGUACAAGUCAGUAUGUGGUGAAUUGUGGCCAUGGGAACUCCAACUACAUGCAUCAGCAACCUGGAAAGGCAUUGACAGCUCAGGCCAACACUUUACCUGCAGUUUCUAUUUGGCUUUCCUUUAAAG